GUUCUUUUUGCAUUAUUGUUGUACUCAGUUUAUAUUAAAGUUUUUUAAUAAUUUUGAUGAAGUCUUAUUUAUUUAUUUAUUGUUGUUGUUGCUCAUACUUUGGUAUCAUAUCUUGGAAUCCAUUGCCAAAUCCAAGGUCACCAAGAUUUACCCCUAUGUUUUCUUCUAAGAGUUUUAUGGUUUUUGCUUUUAUAUUUAGAUCAUUGAUCCAUUUUGAGUUAAAUUUUGUAUAUGGUGUGAGGUAGGGGCCCAACUUCAUUUUUUUCCAUGUGGAAAUCCAGUUGUGCUAGCACCAUCUUUUGAAGAGACUAUACAUUCCCCCAUUGAAUGGAUUUGCUACCCUUGUCAAAAAUCAAUUGGCUAUAAAUGACAGGGUUUAUUUCCGGACAUCUAAUUAUAUUCCACUGGUCUCUGUGUCUAUUCUUAUGCCAGUAUCAUACUGUUUUGAUUUCUGUAGUUUCGUCAAUUUUGAAAUCAGAAAUCACUCCAGCCUGGGUGACAGAGCGAGACUCCGUCUCAAAAAAAAAAAAAAAAAAAAAGAAAUGAGGUCUCACUCUGUCGCCCAUUCUGGGGUGCAGUGGCACGAUCAUAGCUCACUACAGCCUCAAACUCCUGGGGUCAAGCAAUCCUUCUACCUCGGCUUCCAAGUAGUUGGAGCUAUAGCUGCACACCAUUGUGCAUGGCUAAUUUUUAUUCAUUUACUUUUUAUAGAGAGGAAGUCUCACUAUGUUGCCCAGGCUAGUCUUAAACUCCUCAAGUGAUCCUCCUGCCUUGGCCUUCCAAAGUGCUGGGAUUAGCGGCAGCGGCCACUGUGCCUGGCCAAUUCUUGUUCAGCUACAAUUUAUUUUCCUAUUGCUUUUUGGAAUGUAAUUUAAACUUUACACUUUAGUUAUCCCAUUUGUCAAAUGCAUACAUGAUUUUGUGGCCAACAACUUGUACGUGGACACAGUAAAGUUAAAAAAAUAAAGAUGCACAGGAUUUUGAUGCUGAUAGGCAUCAUAAAAUAAUGUGAUCCAAACUAAGGAGAUAUCUGAGCAGAGACAUUAAAAAGACUGCCCUAAGUUUUUUUUAAAUCUAUAAAAGAGCUCAUCCAGCAUACAAGUGUCCUGCUUUCUGAUCCAGCGGUCUUUCCAGCACCCCAGGCUUGGUUGUCAGAAUAGCAUUUGCUCAUAAGGUGUUUUAAUUAUUAAUACAGUAUACUAAAUCCCAGGAGUAGAAUAAGCCUCAUUAUCAUGGUUAGUAAGUCAGCCCAAAGCAAUCUGAUAUUCCUGUAAAACUGAAUGGAUUUUAAAGUAAAACAUCCUUGGGCUCACUGGCCUCAGAGGGGGACAUCAUCUCAUUUACCUAUUUUUCAAAAACCCCAUAAAUGAGUGUUUGGUAUGGACAUUCAUUAUGUCUUAAGCUUUAUUGAUUCUGUUAUGUUGCUAUUAAUUAUAGGAACCACAAAAGCCUUCAAUUAGAUUAAAGCCAUAAUAAAUAAGAUUAGUAACACU
This 1493-nucleotide long non-coding RNA is filed under the name Macaca fascicularis (crab-eating macaque). RNAcentral describes it as "lncRNA (ENSMFAG00000048380.1)". The record is from RNAcentral. Lineage: Eukaryota; Metazoa; Chordata; Mammalia; Primates; Cercopithecidae.